ACCCUCAUUUCAGCCCUAACCCUAAUCACCUUAGGGUGAAUAACUCGGCGCCGCUGGCUCGAAACGUGCUGAAAUUGGGUGUGGGUGCGUGGCUGUCUCCCCUUGACUAUGUGUGAAAUGCCCGAGUCGCUACGACGUUCAGACAAAAAGUUAUUGAGAAAUAGCUCGUACUUUUUCUUCGAGAUGUGCUGGUUUGACCCCUUGCGGAGGUCGUAGACGCUCGGGGGUGGUACCAGUGGAUCGGGCAUCCCCACAUUAGUCCA
RNAcentral lists this unclassified non-coding RNA (263 nucleotides) under Hevea brasiliensis (rubber tree). The record is from RNAcentral. Lineage: Eukaryota; Viridiplantae; Streptophyta; Magnoliopsida; Malpighiales; Euphorbiaceae.